This 428-nucleotide ribosomal RNA is filed under the name uncultured bacterium. RNAcentral describes it as "bacterial SSU rRNA". It matches the Rfam family "Bacterial small subunit ribosomal RNA", at positions 42 to 487 of the family's 1533-position model. The record is from RNAcentral.
UCAGGCCUAACACAUGCAAGUCGAACGGUAACGCGGGGCAACCUGGCGACGAGUGGCGAACGGGUGAGUAAUGUAUCGGAACGUGCCCAGUAGUGGGGGAUAGCCCGGCGAAAGCCGGAUUAAUACCGCAUGAGACCUAUGGGUGAAAGCGGGGGAUCGCAAGACCUCGCGCUAUUGGAGCGGCCGAUAUCAGAUUAGGUAGUUGGUGGGGUAAAGGCCUACCAAGCCGACGAUCUGUAGCUGGUCUGAGAGGACGACCAGCCACACUGGGACUGAGACACGGCCCAGACUCCUACGGGAGGCAGCAGUGGGGAAUUUUGGACAAUGGGCGCAAGCCUGAUCCAGCCAUGCCGCGUGCGGGAAGAAGGCCUUCGGGUUGUAAACCGAUGUGUCAGGGAAGAAAUCUUCUGGGCUAAUACCUCGGGAGG